This 72-nucleotide transfer RNA is filed under the name Coprinellus micaceus. It matches the Rfam family "tRNA". From Rfam's summary of the family: Transfer RNA (tRNA) molecules are approximately 80 nucleotides in length. Their secondary structure includes four short double-helical elements and three loops (D, anti-codon, and T loops). Lineage: Eukaryota; Fungi; Basidiomycota; Agaricomycetes; Agaricales; Psathyrellaceae. The record is from Rfam by way of RNAcentral.
GGCCGUCUGGCGAAAUGGCAUCGCGUCUGACUACGAAUCAGGAGAUUGCAGGUUCGACCCCUGCGCUGGUCA